AGCGAACGCUGGCGGCGUGCCUAACACAUGCAAGUCGAACGUGAAUGGGAGCAAUCCCUAGUAAAGUGGCGUACGGGUGAGUAACGCGUAGGUAAUCUACCCUAGAGUCUGGGAAUAACCGGCCGAAAGGCUGGCUAAUACUGGAUAGAGCGAGGAACUCGUAAAAGGGUUUUUCGGGAAAGGGAGGCAGCAAUGCCCCUUGCUUUAGGAUGAGCCUGCGUCUCAUUAGCUAGUGGUAGGGUAAUGGCCUACCAAGGCAUUGAUGGGUAGCUGGUCUGAGAGGAUGAUCAGCCACACUGGAACUGAAACACGGUCCAGACUCCUACGGGAGGCAGCAGUGGGGAAUCUUGCGCAAUGGACGAAAGUC
This 367-nucleotide ribosomal RNA is filed under the name uncultured bacterium. Its description in RNAcentral is "bacterial SSU rRNA". It matches the Rfam family "Bacterial small subunit ribosomal RNA", at positions 29 to 383 of the family's 1533-position model. The record is from RNAcentral.